GAUGAACGCUGGCGGCGUGCUUAACACAUGCAAGUCGAACGGAAAGGCUCCUGCUUGCAGGGGUACUCGAGUGGCGAACGGGUGAGUAACACGUGGGUGAUCUGCCCUGCACUUCGGGAUAAGCCUGGGAAACUGGGUCUAAUACCGGAUAGGACGAUGGUUUGGAUGCCAUUGUGGAAAGUUUUUCGGUGUGGGAUGAGCUCGCGGCCUAUCAGCUUGUUGGUGGGGUAAUGGCUUACCAAGGCGUCGACGGGUAGCCGGCCUGAGAAGGUGUACGGCCACAUUGGGACUGAGAUACGGCCCAGACUCCUACGGGAGGCAGCAGUGGGGAAUAUUGCACAAUGGGCGCAAGCCUGAUGCAGCGACGCCGCGUGGGGGAUGACGGCCUUCGGGUUGUAAACUCCUUUCGCUAGGGACGAAGCGUUUUGUGACGGUACCUGGAGAAGAAGCACCGGCUAACUACGUG
RNAcentral lists this ribosomal RNA (466 nucleotides) under uncultured bacterium. Its description in RNAcentral is "partial 16S ribosomal RNA". It matches the Rfam family "Bacterial small subunit ribosomal RNA", at positions 28 to 507 of the family's 1533-position model. The record is from RNAcentral.